AGUAACGCGUGAGGAACCUGCCUUUCAGUGGGGGACAACAGUUGGAAACGACUGCUAAUACCGCAUAACGUAUUUGUGUCGCAUGGCAUGGAUACCAAAGAUUUAUCGCUGAGAGAUGGCCUCGCGUCUGAUUAGCUAGUUGGUAGGGUAACGGCCUACCAAGGCGACGAUCAGUACGCCGGACUGAGAGGUUGGCCGGCCACAUUGGGACUGAGAUACGGCCCAGACUCCUACGGAAGGCAGCAG
RNAcentral lists this ribosomal RNA (246 nucleotides) under uncultured bacterium. RNAcentral describes it as "partial 16S ribosomal RNA". It matches the Rfam family "Bacterial small subunit ribosomal RNA", at positions 109 to 354 of the family's 1533-position model. The record is from RNAcentral.